GGCAACAGCAGAAGGAAAUCUUCCAUGUCAGUUAACCUAAUCCAGAUAAUCCCUCACAGGCAUGCCCAGAGGACUGCCUCCUAGCUAAUUCCAGAUCUUGUCAAACUAACAAUCAGUGUCAAGCAUCACAGUCAUGAACUAAGGAUUGUGGCUGAUAUAAUUCUGAACAGAGCCAUGCAUGUCUGUUGGACUGACCAGUCAUUGGUGACUUUCAACCAUGAUUUCAGAGAUCCCAGAAGAGUUUUCAUCAUAAGAAAUUAAUGUGAACAUUCUAUCUACUUUUUGAAAAUCUUACUGAAAAGAUAAAGAAACAGAUAAAAUGCUGAAGGAACACCUGGUGUCUUCUGAGCUAUUCUUCCCUGGCCCAACUCCCAGCUGUGCCAACAAUAUUCCUGAUGAUGUUGGGAAGGUUGACGUUAAUGCCCCUGUGAGAUUCUUCUGUCUGUGGAUGGAGCAUAGCAUGAUCUGGAACAUGCAUAGGGGAGAGACUGUAAGCCAUCAGUUGAGGAUUCUGAGGACAUGUAGCUCCCAUGUACUCAUCCCUCAAUUAUUAAUUGAAACCUCAGGAGUCUUCUGGAGCACCUGGGGAGUUAUGACAUCAUUUAUAACACAGUAGGUUUCAAAGAGACCUAAAGGUCUAGUGCAGGUUGCCAUAGAUGCGGUGAUUGCAGCCUCCAUUCAUAUGGAAGUGAUUCCACUGGAAAGACCGGAAGUAACUUUCAUUCAUAGUGAUGCCAGUGGGCAGGUGGAAAGUAGAGCUUUGAUCUUGUCAAGUUCCUAGUGCGUCUGGCUAAUUUCAA
Peromyscus eremicus (cactus mouse) is the source of this 800-nucleotide long non-coding RNA. RefSeq lists it as uncharacterized. The record is from RefSeq and is a predicted model, not a curated record. NCBI's taxonomy places the organism in Eukaryota, Metazoa, Chordata, Mammalia, Rodentia, Cricetidae. The transcript has 4 exons.